Molecule: ribosomal RNA, 1518 nt
Filed under: metagenome
Description: bacterial SSU rRNA
Rfam family: Bacterial small subunit ribosomal RNA
Source: RNAcentral
AGAGUUUGAUCCUGGCUCAGAACGAACGCUGGCGGAGUGCUUAAUACAUGCAAGUCGUGCGAGAACGCGAUCUUCGGAUUGUUAGUAGAGCGGCGAACGGGUGAGUAACACGUAAGUAACCUGCCCCAAAAUCUGGGACAACCUUUCUAACGAGGGGCUAAUACCGGAUGUGAACAUAAUGACUCAUGUUAUAAUGUUUAAAGAUGACCUCUACUUGUAAGUUAUUGUUCUGGGAUGGACUUGCGGACCAUUAGUUUGUUGGUGAGGUAACGGCUCACCAAGACUACGAUGGUUAGCCGACCUGAGAGGGUGAUCGGCCACAUUGGGACUGAGAUACGGCCCAGACUCCUACGGGAGGCAGCAGUAGGGAAUAUUGCGCAAUGGACGAAAGUCUGACGCAGCAACUCCGCGUGAGGGAUGACGGCCUUAGGGUUGUAAACCUCUGUUGAGUGGGAAGAAUGAGAUUUGUGCUAAUCAGCAGAUCUGUGACGGUACCACUCCAGAAAGCUCCGGCUAACUACGUGCCAGCAGCCGCGGUAAUACGUAGGGAGCGAGCGUUGUUCGGAAUCACUGGGCGUAAAGCGAACGUAGGCGGGAAAGUAAGUUAGAAGUGAAAUGUAUCGGCUCAACCGAUGAUCUGCUUUUAAUACUGCUUUUCUUGAGUAUGGAAGAGGAAGAUGGAAUUCCAGGUGUAGCGGUGGAAUGCGUAGAUAUCUGGAAGAACACCAGUUGCGAAGGCGGUCUUCUGGUCCAAUACUGACGCUGAGGUUCGAAAGCUAAGGGAGCGAACAGGAUUAGAUACCCUGGUAGUCUUAGCCGUAAACGAUGGAUACUAGUUGUUGGGGAUGUAUGUCUUCAGUGACGCAGCUAACGCGUUAAGUAUCCCGCCUGGGGAGUACGCUCGCAAGAGUGAAACUCAAAGGAAUUGACGGGGGCCCGCACAAGCGGUGGAGCAUGUGCUUUAAUUCGAUGCAACGCGAAGAACCUUACCUGGUCUUGACAUGUGAAUGCAAUCUUUUAGAGAUAGAAGACCUUCCUUCGGGAACAUUCAACACAGGUGCUGCAUGGUUGUCGUCAGCUCGUGUCGUGAGAUGUUGGGUUAAGUCCCGCAACGAGCGCAACCCUUGUCCUUAGUUGCCAUCAGGUAAUGCUGGGAACUCUAGGGAGACUGCCUGGUUUAACCAGGAGGAAGGUGGGGAUGACGUCAAAUCAUCAUGGCCCUUACGACCAGGGCUAGACACGUGCUACAAUGGGCAGUACAGCGGGAAGCGAAGUCGCGAGGCUAAGCCAAUCCCUUAAAACUGUUCUCAGUUCGGAUAGGAGUCUGCAAUUCGACUCCUUGAAGUUGGAAUCGCUAGUAAUCGCGGAUCAGCAUGCCGCGGUGAAUACGUUCCCGGGCCUUGUACACACCGCCCGUCGAGCAACGAAAGAGGGUAGUACCCAAAGUCGUUCUCCUAACCUUCGGGAGGGAUGCGCCUAAGGUAAGACUCUUAAUUGGGGCUAAGUCGAAACAAGGUA